Molecule: long non-coding RNA, 16088 nt
Organism: Anopheles funestus (African malaria mosquito)
Lineage: Eukaryota; Metazoa; Arthropoda; Insecta; Diptera; Culicidae
Exons: 12
Source: RefSeq, a predicted model, not a curated record
UGUGUUUUGGCUACAGUGUCUUGGCUAAUGUGUCUCGGCUAAUGUGUCUUGGCUAAGGUGUCUCGGCUAAUGUGUCUUGGCUAAGGUGUCUUGGCUAAUGUGUCUUGGCUAAUGUGUCUUGGCUAAUGUGUCUUGGCUAAUGUGUCUUGGCUAAGGUGUCUUGGCUAAUGUGUCUUGGCUAAUGUGUCUUGGCUAAGGUGUCUUGGCUAAGGUGUCUUGGCUAAGGUGUCUUGGCUAAGGUGUCUUGGCUAAUGUGUCUUGGCUAAGGUGUCUUGGCUAAUGUGUCUCGGCUAAUGUGUCUUGGCUAAUGUGUCUUGGCUAAGGUGUCUUGGCUAAGGUGUCUUGGCUAAUGUGUCUUGGCUAAGGUGUCUUGGCUAAGGUGUCUUGGCUAAGGUGUCUUGGCUAAUGUGUCUUGGCUAAGGUGUCUUGGCUAAGGUGUCUUGGCUAAUGUGUCUCGGCUAAGGUGUCUUGGCUAAAGUGUCUUGGCUAAUGUGUCUCGGCUAAGGUGUCUUGGCUAAUGUGUCUUGGCUAAGGUGUCUUGGCUAAUGUGUCUUGGCUAAGGUGUCUUGGCUAAGGUGUCUUGGCUAAGGUGUCUUGGCUAAUGUGUCUCGGCUAAGGUGUCUUGGCUAAAGUGUCGUGGCUAAUGUGUCUCGGCUAAGGUGUCUUGGCUAAUGUGUCUUGGCUAAGGUGUCUUGGCUAAGGUGUCUUGGCUAAGGUGUCUUGGCUAAGGUGUCUUGGCUAAGGUGUCUUGGCUAAUGUGUCUUGGCUAAGGUGUCUUGGCUUAGGUGUCUUGGCUAAUGUGUCUUGGCUAAGGUGUCUUGGCUAAUGUGUCUUGGCUAAGGUGUCUUGGCUAAUGUGUCUUGGCUAAGGUGUCUUGGCUAAGGUGUCUUGGCUAAGGUGUCUUGGCUAAGGUGUCUUGGCUAAGGUGUCUUGGCUAAUGUGUCUCGGCUAAGGUGUCUUGGCUAAAGUGUCUUGGCUAAUGUGUCUCGGCUAAGGUGUCUUGGCUAAUGUGUCUUGGCUAAGGUGUCUUGGCUAAGGUGUCUUGGCUAAGGUGUCUUGGCUAAGGUGUCUUGGCUAAGGUGUCUUGGCUAAUGUGUCUUGGCUAAGGUGUCUUGGCUUAGGUGUCUUGGCUAAUGUGUCUUGGCUAAUGUGUCUUGGCUAAGGUGUCUUGGCUACAGUGUCUUGGCUAAGGUGUCUUGGCUAAAGUGUCUUGGCUUAGGUGUCUUGGCUAAUGUGUCUUGGCUAAUGUGUCUUGGCUAAGGUGUCUUGGCUAAUGUGUCUUGGCUAAGGUGUCUUGGCUACAGUGUCUUGGCUAAGGUGUCUUGGCUAAAGUGUCUUGGCUUAGGUGUCUUGGCUAAUGUGUCUUGGCUAAGGUGUCUUGGCUAAAGUGUCUUGGCUAAGGUGUCUUGGCUUAGGUGUCUUGGCUAAUGUGUCUUGGUCAAUGUGUCUUGGCUAAGGUGUCUUGGCUAAUGUGUCUUGGCUUUGGUGUCUUGGCUUAUGUGUCUUGGCUAAGGUGUCUUGGCUAAAGUGUCUUGGCUAAUGUGUCUUGGCUAAGGUGUCUUGGCUAAUGUGUCUUGGUUAAGGUGUUUUGGCUUAGGUGUCUUGGCUAAGGUGUCUUGGCUUAUGUGUCUUGGCUAAGGUGUCUUGGCUAAGGUGUCUUGGCUAAUGUGUCUUGGCUAAAGUGUCUUGGCUAAGGUGUCUUGGCUUAGGUGUCUUGGCUAAUGUGUCUUGGCUAAUGUGUCUUGGCUAAGGUGUCUUGGCUUAGGUGUCUUGGCUAAGGUGUCUUGGCUAAGGUGUCUUGGCUAAAGUGUCUUGGCUAAUGUGUCUUGGCUAACGUGUCUUGGCUUAGGUGUCUUGGCUAAGGUGUCUUGGCUAAUGUGUCUUGGUUAAGGUGUUUUGGCUUAGGUGUCUUGGCUAAGGUGUCUUGGCUUAUGUGUCUUGGCUAAGGUGUCUUGGCUAAGGUGUCUUGGCUAAUGUGUCUUGGCUAAAGUGUCUUGGCUAAGGUGUCUUGGCUUAGGUGUCUUGGCUAAUGUGUCUUGGCUAAUGUGUCUUGGCUAAGGUGUCUUGGCUAAUGUGUCUUGGCUUUGGUGUCUUGGCUAAGGUGUCUUGGCUAAGGUGUCUUGGCUAAAGUGUCUUGGCUAAUGUGUCUUGGCUAAGGUGUCUUGGCUAAGGUGUCUUGGCUAAGGUGUCUUGGCUAAUGUGUCUUGGCUAAGGUGUCUUGGCUAAGGUGUCUUGGCUAAGGUGUCUUGGCUAAGGUGUCUUGGCUAAUGUGUCUUGGCUAAUGUGUCUUGGCUAAGGUGUCUUGGAUAAGGUGUCUUGGCUAAGGUGUCUUGGCUAAUGUGUCUUGGCUAAGGUGUCUUGGCUAAGGUGUCUUGGCUAAGGUGUCUUGGCUAAUGUGUCUUGGCUAAGGUGUCUUGGCUUAGGUGUCUUGGCUAAUGUGUCUUGGCUAAUGUGUCUUGGCUAAGGUGUCUUGGCUACAGUGUCUUGGCUAAGGUGUCUUGGCUAAAGUGUCUUGGCUUAGGUGUCUUGGCUAAUGUGUCUUGGCUAAUGUGUCUUGGCUAAGGUGUCUUGGCUAAUGUGUCUUGGCUAAUGUGUCUUGGCUAAUGUGUCUCGGCUAAUGUGUCUUGGCUUAUGUGUCUUGGCUAAUGUGUCUUGGCUAAUGUGUCUUGGCUAAGGUGUCUUGGCUAAAGUGUCUUGGCUAAGGUGUCUUGGCUUAGGUGUCUUGGCUAAUGUGUCUUGGCUAAUGUGUCUUGGCUAAUGUGUCUUGGCUAAGGUGUCUUGGCUAAAGUGUCUUGGCUUAGGUGUCUUGGCUAAGGUGUCUUGGCUAAGGUGUCUUGGCUAAUGUGUCUUGGCUAAUAUGUCUUGGCUAAGGUGUCUUGGCUAAUGUGUCUUGGCUAAUGUGUCUCAGCUAAUGUGUCCUGGCUAAUGUGUCCUGCCUAAUGUGUCUUGGCUAAGGUGUCUUGGCUAAGGUGUCUUGACUUAUGUGUCUUGGCUAAUGUGUCUUGGCUAAUGUGUAUUGGCUGAUGUGUCUUGGCUAAUGUGUCUUGGCUAAGGUGUCUUGGCUAAAGUGUCUUGGCUAAGGUGUCUUGGCUUAGGUGUCUAGGCUAAUGUGUCUUGGCUAAUGUGUCUUGGCUAAGGUGUCUUGGCUAAAGUGUCUUGGCUAAGGUGUCUUGGCUUAGGUGUCUUGGCUAAGGUGUCUUGGCUCAUGUGUCUUGGCUAAGGUGUCUUGGCUAAUGUGUCUUGGCUAAUGUGUCUUGGCUAAGGUGUCUUGGCUAAUGUGUCUUGGCUAAUGUGUCUCGGCUAAGGUGUCUUGGCUAAAGUGUCUUGGCUAAGGUGUCUUGGCUUAGGUGUCUUGGCUAAUGUGUCUUGGCUAAUGUGUCUUGGCUAAUGUGUCUUGGCUAAGGUGUAUUGGCUAAAGUGUCUUGGCUAAGGUGUCUUGGCUAAUGUGUCUUGGCUAAGGUGUCUUGGCUAAUGUGUCUUGGCUAAGGUGUCUUGGCUAAUGUGUCUUGGCUAAGGUGUCUUGGCUAAAGUGUCUUGGCUAAGGUGUCUUGGCUAAGGUGUCUUGGCUAAGGUGUCUUGGCUAAGGUGUCUUGGCUAAUGUGUCUUGGCUAAGGUGUCUUGGCUAAAGUGUCUUGGCUAAGGUGUCUUGGCUAAGGUGUCUUGGCUAAUGUGUCUUGGCUAAUGUGUCUUGGCUAAGGUGUCUUGGCUAAUGUGUCUUGGCUAAAGUGUCUUGGCUAAGGUGUCUUGGCUAAGGUGUCUUGGCUAAGGUGUCUUGGCUAAUGUGUCUUGGCUAAGGUGUCUUGGCUAAUGUGUCUUGGGUAAGGUGUCUUGGCUAAUGUGUCUUGGCUAAGGUGUCUUGGCUAAAGUGUCUUGGCUAAGGUGUCUUGGCUAAGGUGUCUUGGCUAAGGUGUCUUGGCUAAGGUGUCUUGGCUAAGGUGUCUUGGCUAAGGUGUCUUGGCUAAGGUGUCUUGGCUAAAGUGUCUUGGCUAAGGUGUCUUGGCUAAUGUGUCUUGGCUAAAGUGUCUUGGCUAAGGUGUCUUGGCUAAUGUGUCUUGGCUAAAGUGUCUUGGCUAAGAUGUCUUGGCUAAGGUGUCUUGGCUAAGGUGUCUUGGCUAAGGUGUCUUGGGUAAGGUGUCUUGGCUAAUGUGUCUUGGCUAAGGUGUCUUGGCUGAAGUGUCUUGGCUAAGGUGUCUUGGCUAAGGUGUCUUGGCUAAGGUGUCUUGGCUAAGGUGUCUUGGCUAAUGUGUCUUGGCUAAGGUGUCUUGGCUAAAGUGUCUUGGCUAAGGUGUCUUGGCUAAAGUGUCUUGGCUAAGGUGUCUUGGCUAAAGUGUCUUGGCUAAUGUGUCUUGGCUAAGGUGUCUUGGCUAAGGUGUCUUGGCUAAGGUGUCUUGGCUAAUGUGUCUUGGCUAAAGUGUCUUGGCUAAGAUGUCUUGGCUAAGGUGUCUUGGCUAAGGUGUCUUGGCUAAGGUGUCUUGGCUAAGGUGUCUUGGCUAAUGUGUCUUGGGUAAGGUGUCUUGGCUAAUGUGUCUUGGCUAAGGUGUCUUGGCUAAUGUGUCUUGGCUAAGGUGUCUUGGCUAAAGUGUCUUGGCUAAUGUGUCUUGGCUAAGGUGUCUUGGCUAAAGUGUCUUUGCUAAGGUGUCUUGGCUAAUGUGUCUUGGCUAAGGUGUCUUGGCUAAUAUGUCUUGGCUAAAGUGUCUUGGCUAAGGUGUCUUGGCUAAGGUGUCUUGGCUAAUGUGUCUUGGCUAAGGUGUCUUGGCUAAAGUGUCUUGGCUAAGGUGUCUUGGCUAAAGUGUCUUGGCUAAGGUGUCUUGGCUAAGGUGUCUUGGCUAAUGUGUCUUGGCUAAGGUGUCUUGGCUAAGGUGUCUUGGCUAAUGUGUCUUGGCUAAUGUGUCUUGGCUAAUGUGUCUUGGCUAAGGUGUCUUGGCUAAUGUGUCUCGGCUAAUGUGUCUUGGCUAAAGUGUCUUGGCUAAGGUGUCUUGGCUAAUGUGUCUUGGCUAAGGUGUCUUGGCUAAAGUGUCUUGGCUAAGGUGUCUUGGCUAAGGUGUCUUGGCUAAUGUGUCUUGGCUAAGGUGUCUUGGCUAAUGUGUCUUGGCUAAAGUGUCUUGGCUAAGCUGUCUUGGCUAAGGUGUCUUGGCUAAGGUGUCUUGGCUAAGGUGUCUUGGCUAAUGUGUCUUGGCUAAAGUGUCUUGGCUAAGGUGUCUUGGCUAAAGUGUCUUGGCUAAGGUGUCUUGGCUAAGGUGUCUUGGCUAAGGUGUCUUGGCUAAAGUGUCUUGGCUAAGGUGUCUUGGCUAAUGUGUCUUGGCUAAGGUGUCUUGGCUAAGGUGUCUUGGCUAAUGUGUCUUGGCUAAAGUGUCUUGGCUAAGCUGUCUUGGCUAAGGUGUCUUGGCUAAGGUGUCUUGGCUAAGGUGUCUUGGCUAAUGUGUCUUGGCUAAAGUGUCUUGGCUAAGGUGUCUUGGCUAAAGUGUCUUGGCUAAUGUGUCUUGGCUAAAGUGUCUUGGCUAAGGUGUCUUGGCUAAGGUGUCUUGGCUAAGGUGUCUUGGCUAAUGUGUCUUGGCUAAGGUGUCUUGGCUAAUGUGUCUUGGCUAAGGUGUCUUGGCUAAUGUGUCUUGGCUAAGGUGUCUUGGCUAAAGUGUCUUGGCUAAGGUGUCUUGGCUAAGGUGUCUUGGCUAAGGUGUCUUGGCUAAGGUGUCUUGGCUAAUGUGUCUUGGCUAAGGUGUCUUGGCUAAAGUGUCUUGGCUAAGGUGUCUUGGCUAAGGUGUCUUGGCUAAUGUGUCUUGGCUAAUGUGUCUUGGCUAAGGUGUCUUGGCUAAUGUGUCUUGGCUAAAGUGUCUUGGCUAAGGUGUCUUGGCUAAGGUGUCUUGGCUAAGGUGUCUUGGCUAAUGUGUCUUGGCUAAGGUGUCUUGGCUAAUGUGUCUUGGGUAAGGUGUCUUGGCUAAUGUGUCUUGGCUAAGGUGUCUUGGCUAAAGUGUCUUGGCUAAGGUGUCUUGGCUAAUGUGUCUUGGCUAAGGUGUCUUGGCUAAGGUGUCUUGGCUAAGGUGUCUUGGCUAAUGUGUCUUGGCUAAGGUGUCUUGGCUAAAGUGUCUUGGCUAAGGUGUCUUGGCUAAAGUGUCUUGGCUAAGGUGUCUUGGCUAAGGUGUCUUGGCUAAUGUGUCUUGGCUAAAGUGUCUUGGCUAAGGUGUCUUGGCUAAAGUGUCUUGGCUAAGGUGUCUUGGCUAAUGUGUCUUGGCUAAAGUGUCUUGGCUAAGGUGUCUUGGCUAAGGUGUCUUGGCUAAGGUGUCUUGGCUAAUGUGUCUUGGCUAAGGUGUCUUGGCUAAUGUGUCUUGGGUAACGUGUCUUGGCUAAUGUGUCUUGGCUAAGGUGUCUUGGCUAAAGUGUCUUGGCUAAGGUGUCUUGGCUAAGGUGUCUUGGCUAAGGUGUCUUGGCUAAGGUGUCUUGGCUAAGGUGUCUUGGCUAAGGUGUCUUGGCUAAGGUGUCUUGGCUAAAGUGUCUUGGCUAAGGUGUCUUGGCUAAUGUGUCUUGGCUAAAGUGUCUUGGCUAAGGUGUCUUGGCUAAUGUGUCUUGGCUAAAGUGUCUUGGCUAAGAUGUCUUGGCUAAGGUGUCUUGGCUAAGGUGUCUUGGCUAAGGUGUCUUGGGUAAGGUGUCUUGGCUAAUGUGUCUUGGCUAAGGUGUCUUGGCUGAAGUGUCUUGGCUAAGGUGUCUUGGCUAAGGUGUCUUGGCUAAGGUGUCUUGGCUAAGGUGUCUUGGCUAAGGUGUCUUGGCUAAUGUGUCUUGGCUAAGGUGUCUUGGCUAAAGUGUCUUGGCUAAGGUGUCUUGGCUAAAGUGUCUUGGCUAAGGUGUCUUGGCUAAAGUGUCUUGGCUAAUGUGUCUUGGCUAAGGUGUCUUGGCUAAGGUGUCUUGGCUAAGGUGUCUUGGCUAAUGUGUCUUGGCUAAAGUGUCUUGGCUAAGAUGUCUUGGCUAAGGUGUCUUGGCUAAGGUGUCUUGGCUAAGGUGUCUUGGCUAAGGUGUCUUGGCUAAUGUGUCUUGGGUAAGGUGUCUUGGCUAAUGUGUCUUGGCUAAGGUGUCUUGGCUAAUGUGUCUUGGCUAAGGUGUCUUGGCUAAAGUGUCUUGGCUAAUGUGUCUUGGCUAAGGUGUCUUGGCUAAGGUGUCUUGGCUAAUGUGUCUUGGCUAAGGUGUCUUGGCUAAAGUGUCUUGGCUAAGGUGUCUUGGCUAAAGUGUCUUGGCUAAGGUGUCUUGGCUAAAGUGUCUUGGCUAAUGUGUCUUGGCUAAGGUGUCUUGGCUAAGGUGUCUUGGCUAAUGUGUCUUGGCUAAUGUGUCUUGGCUAAUGUGUCUUGGCUAAUGUGUCUUGGCUAAUGUGUCUCGGCUAAUGUGUCUUGGCUAAAGUGUCUUGGCUAAGGUGUCUUGGCUAAUGUGUCUUGGCUAAGGUGUCUUGGCUAAAGUGUCUUGGCUAAGGUGUCUUGGCUAAGGUGUCUUGGCUAAUGUGUCUUGGCUAAGGUGUCUUGGCUAAUGUGUCUUGGCUAAAGUGUCUUGUCUAAGCUGUCUUGGCUAAGGUGUCUUGGCUAAGGUGUCUUGGCUAAUGUGUCUUGGCUAAGGUGUCUUGGCUAAUGUGUCUUGGCUAAGGUGUCUUGGCUAAUGUGUCUUGGGUAAGGUGUCUUGGCUAAUGUGUCUUGGCUAAGGUGUCUUGGCUAAAGUGUCUUGGCUAAGGUGUCUUGGCUAAGGUGUCUUGGCUAAGGUGUCUUGGCUAAGGUGUCUUGGCUAAGGUGUCUUGGCUAAUGUGUGUUGGCUAAGGUGUCUUGGCUAAAGUGUCUUGGCUAAUGUGUCUUGGCUAAUGUGUCUUGGCUAAUGUGUCUUGGCUAAGGUGUCUUGGCUAAUGUAUCUUGGCUAAAGUGUCUUGGCUAAGGUGUCUUGGCUAAGGUGUCUUGGCUAAGGUGUCUUGGCUAAUGUGUCUUGGCUAAGGUGUCUUGGCUAAUGUGUCUUGGGUAAGGUGUCUUGGCUAAUGUGUCUUGGCUAAGGUGUCUUGGCUAAAGUGUCUUGGCUAAGGUGUCUUGGCUAAGGUGUCUUGGCUAAGGUGUCUUGGCUAUGGUGUCUUGGCUAAGGUGUCUUGGCUAAUGUGUCUUGGCUAAGGUGUCUUGGCUAAAGUGUCUUGGCUAAGGUGUCUUGGCUAAAGUGUCUUGGCUAAGGUGUCUUGGCUAAGGUGUCUUGGCUAAUGUGUCUUGGCUAAUGUGUCUUGGCUAAGGUGUCUUGGCUAAUGCGUCUUGGGUAACGUGUCUUGGCUAAUGUGUCUUGGCUAAGGUGUCUUGGCUAAAGUGUCUUGGCUAAGGUGUCUUGGCUAAUGUGUCUUGGCUAAGGUGUCUUGGCUAAGGUGUCUUGGCUAAGGUGUCUUGGCUAAUGUGUCUUGGCUAAGGUGUCUUGGCUAAUGUGUCUUGGGUAACGUGUCUUGGCUAAUGUGUCUUGGCUAAGGUGUCUUGGCUAAAGUGUCUUGGCUAAAGUGUCUUGGCUAAGGUGUCUUGGCUAAGGUGUAUUGGCUAAGGUGUCUUGGCUAAGGUGUCUUGGCUAAUGUGUCUUGGCUAAGGUGUCUUGGCUAAAGUGUCUUGGCUAAGGUGUCUUGGCUAAUGUGUCUUGGCUAAUGUGUCUUGGCUAAGGUGUCUUGGCUAAUGUGUCUUGGCUAAAGUGUCUUGGCUAAGGUGUCUUGGCUAAGGUGUCUUGGCUAAGAUGUCUUGGCUAAUGUGUCUUGGCUAAGGUGUCUUGGCUAAUGUGUCUUGGGUAAGGUGUCUUGGCUAAAGUGUCUUGGCUAAGGUGUCUUGGCUAAAGUGUCUUGGCUAAUGUGUCUUGGCUAAGGUGUCUUGGCUAAGGUGUCUUGGCUAAAGUGUCUUGGCUAAUGUGUCUUGGCUAAUGUGUCUUGUCUAAAGUGUCUUGGCUAAUGUGUCUUGGCUAAUGUGUCUUGGCUAAUGUGUCUCGGCUAAUGUGUCUUGGCUAAAGUGUCUUGGCUAAGGUGUCUUGGCUAAUGUGUCUUGGCUAAGGUGUCUUGGCUAAAGUGUCUUGGCUAAGGUGUCUUGGCUAAGGUGUCUUGGCUAAGGUGUCUUGGCUAAUGUGUCUUGGCUAAGGUGUCUUGGCUAAGGUGUCUUGGCUAAAGUGUCUUGGCUAAUGUGUCUUGGCUAAUGUGUCUUGGCUAAUGUGUCUCGGCUAAUGUGUCUUGGCUAAAGUGUCUUGGCUAAUGUGUCUUGGCUAAUGUGUCUUGGCUAAUGUGUCUUGGCUAAUGUGUCUCGGCUAAUGUGUCUUGGCUAAAGUGUCUUGGCUAAGGUGUCUUGGCUAAUGUGUCUUGGCUAAGGUGUCUUGGCUAAAGUGUCUUGGCUAAGGUGUCUUGGCUAAGGUGUCUUGGCUAAUGUGUCUUGGCUAAGGUGUCUUGGCUAAUGUGUCUUGGCUAAAGUGUCUUGGCUAAGCUGUCUUGGCUAAGGUGUCUUGGCUAAGGUGUCUUGGCUAAGGUGUCUUGGCUAAUGUGUCUUGGCUAAAGUGUCUUGGCUAAGGUGUUUUGGCUAAGGUGUCUUGGCUAAGGUGUCUUGGCUAAGGUGUCUUGGCUAAAGUGUCUUGGCUAAGGUGUCUUGGCUAAUGUGUCUCGGCUAAUGUGUCUUGGCUAAAGUGUCUUGGCUAAGGUGUCUUGGCUAAUGUGUCUUGGCUAAGGUGUCUUGGCUAAAGUGUCUUGGCUAAGGUGUCUUGGCUAAGGUGUCUUGGCUAAUGUGUCUUGGCUAAGGUGUCUUGGCUAAUGUGUCUUGGCUAAAGUGUCUUGGCUAAGCUGUCAUGGCUAAGGUGUCUUGGCUAAGGUGUCUUGGCUAAGGUGUCUUGGCUAAAGUGUCUUGGCUAAGGUGUCUUGGCUAAAGUGUCUUGGCUUAGGUGUCUUGGCUAAGGUGUCUUGGCUAAUGUGUCUUGGCUAAUGUGUCUUGGCUAAGGUGUCUUGGCUAAGGUGUCUUGGCUAAUGUGUCUUGGCUAAGGUGUCUUGGCUAAGGUGUCUUGGCUAAUGUGUCUUGGCUAAUGUGUCUUGGCUAAUGUGUCUUGGCUAAGGUGUCUUGGCAAAUGAGUCUCGGCUUAUGUGUCUUGGCUAAAGUGUCUUGGCUAAGGUGUCUUGGCUAAUGUGUCUUGGCUAAGGUGUCUUGGCUAAGGUGUCUUGGCUAAUGUGUCUCGGCUAAGGUGUCUUGGCUAAGGUGUCUUGGCUAAGGUGUCUUGGCUAAGGUGUCUUGGCUAAGGUGUCUUGGCUAAUGUGUCUUGGCUAAGGUGUCUUGGCUAAUGUGUCUUGGCUAAGGUGUCUUGGCUAAUGUGUCUUGGCUAAUGUGUCUUGGCUAAUGUGUCUUGGCUAAGGUGUCUUGGCUAAUGUGUCUUGGCUAAGGUGUCUUGGCUAAGGUGUCUUGGCUAAUGUGUCUUGGCUAAGGUGUUUUGGCUAAAGUGUUUUGGCUAAAGUGUCUUGGCUAAGGUGUCUUGUCUAAGGUGUCUUGGCUAAUGUGUCUUGGCUAAUGUGUCUUGGCUAAGGUGUCUUGGCUAAAGUGUCUUGGCUAAGGUGUCUUGGCUAAGGUGUCUUGGCUAAAGUGUCUUGGCUAAGGUGUCUUGGCUAAGGUGUCUUGGCUAAUGUGUCUUGGCUAAGGUGUCUUGGCUAAGGUGUCUUGGCUAAGGUGUCUUGGCUAAGGUGUCUUGACUAAUGUGUCUUGGCUAAGGUGUCUUGGCUAAUGUGUCUCGGCUAAGGUGUCUUGGCUAAUGUGUCUUGGCUAAGGUGUCUUGGCUAAGGUGUCUUGUCUAAGGUGUCUUGGCUAAUGUGUCUUGGCUAAUGUGUCUUGGCUAAGGUGUCUUGGCUAAAGUGUCUUGGCUAAGGUGUCUUGGCUAAGGUGUCUUGGCUAAAGUGUCUUGGCUAAGGUGUCUUGGCUAAGGUGUCUUGGCUAAUGUGUCUUGGCUAAGGUGUCUUGGCUAAGGUGUCUUGGCUAAGGUGUCUUGGCUAAGGUGUCUUGGCUAAGGUGUCUUGACUAAUGUGUCUUGGCUAAGGUGUCUUGGCUAAGGUGUCUUGGCUAAUGUGUCUCGGCUAAGGUGUCUUGGCUAAGGUGUCUUGGCUAAUGUGUUUUGGCUAAGGUGUCUUGGCUAAGGUGUCUUGGCUAAGGUGUCUUGGCUAAGGUGUCUUGGCUAAUGUGUCUUGGCUAAGGUGUCUUGGCUAAGGUGUCUUUGCUAAUGUGUCUUGGCUAAGGUGUUUUGGCUAAAGUGUUUUGGCUAAAGUGUCUUGGCUAAGGUGUCUUGUCUAAGGUGUCUUGGCUAAUGUGUCUUGGCUAAUGUGUCUUGGCUAAGGUGUCUUGGCUAAAGUGUCUUGGCUAAGGUGUCUUGGCUAAGGUGUCUUGGCUAAAGUGUCUUGGCUAAGGUGUCUUGGCUAAGGUGUCUUGGCUAAUGUGUCUUGGCUAAGGUGUCUUGGCUAAGGUGUCUUGGCUAAGGUGUCUUGGCUAAGGUGUCUUGGCUAAGGUGUCUUGACUAAUGUGUCUUGGCUAAGGUGUCUUGGCUAAGGUGUCUUGGCUAAUGUGUCUCGGCUAAGGUGUCUUGGCUAAUGUGUCUUGGCUAAGGUGUCUUGGCUAAGGUGUCUUGGCUAAGUUGUCUUGGCUAAUGUGUUUUGGCUAAUGUGUCUUGGCUAAAGUGUCUUGGCUAAGGUGUCUUGGCUAAAGUGUCUUGGCUAAGGUGUCUUGGCUAAGGUGUCUUGGCUAAGGUGUCUUGGCUAAUGUGUCUUGGCUAAUGUGUCUUGGCUAAUGUGUCUUGGCUAAGGUGUCUUGGCUAAUGUGUCUCGGCUAAUGUGUCUUGGCUAAAGUGUCUUGGCUAAGGUGUCUUGGCUAAGGUGUCUCUGCUAAGGUGUCUUGGCUAAGGUGUCUUGGCUAAGGUGUCUUGGCUAAUGUGUCUUGGCUACUGUGACUUGGCUAAUGUGUCUUGGCUAAGGUGUCUUGGCUAAUGUGUCUUGGCUAAGGUGUCUUUGCUAAUGUGUCUUGGCUAAGGUGUCUUGGCUAAGGUGUCUUGGCUAAGGUGUAUUGGCUAAGGUGUCUUGGCUAAGGUGUCUUGGCUAAGGUGUCUUGGCUAAGGUGUCUUGGCUAAGCUGUCUUGGCUAAUGUGUCUUGGCUAAAGUGUCUUGGCUAAGCUGUCUUGGCUAAGGUGUCUUGGCUAAGGUGUCUUGGCUAAUGUGUCUUGGCUAAGGUGUCUUGGCUAAUGUGUCUUGGCUAAAGUGUCUUGGCUAAGGUGUCUUGGCUAAGGUGUCUUGGCUAAUGUGUCUUGGCUAAGGUGUCUUGGCUAAAGUGUCUUGGCUAAGGUGUCUUGGCUAAGGUGUCUUGGCUAAGGUGUCUUGGCUAAGGUGUCUUGGCUAAUGUGUCUUGGCUAAGGUGUCUUGGCUAAGGUGUCUUGGCUAAGGUGUCUUGGCUAAGGUGUCUUGGCUAAGGUGUCUUGGCUAAUGUGUCUUGGCUAAUGUGUCUUGGCUAAGGUGUCUUGGCUAAUGUGUCUCGGCUAAUGUGUCUUGGCUAAAGUGUCUUGGCUAAGGUGUCUUGGCUAAUGUGUCUUGGUUAAGGUGUCUUGGCUAAAGUGUCUUGGCUAAGGUGUCUUGGCUAAGGUGUCUUGGCUAAUGUGUCUUGGCUAAGGUGUCUUGGCUAAGGUGUCUUGGCUAAUGUGUCUUGGCUAAGGUGUCUUGGCUAAUGUGUCUUGGCUAAUGUGUCUUGGCUAAGGUGUCUUGGCUAAGGUGUCUUGGCUAAGGUGUCUUGGCUAAUGUGUCUCGGCUAAUGUGUCUUGGCUAAUGUGUCUUGGCUAAGGUGUCUUGGCUAAGGUGUCUUGGCUAAUGUGUCUUGGCUAAUGUGUCUUGGCUAAUGAGUCUUGGCUAAUGUGUCUUGGCGAUUGUGUCUUGGCUCAUGUGUCUUGGCUAAUGUGCCUUGGCUAAGGUGUCUUGGCUAAGGUGUCUUGGCUAAGGUGUCUUGGCUAAUGUGUCUCGGCUAAUGUGUCUUGGCUAAUGUGUCUUGGCUAAUGUGUCUUGGCUAAUGUGUCUUGGCUAAUAUGUCAUGGCUAAGGUGUCUUGGCUAAGGUGUCUUGGCUAAGGUGUCUUGGCUAAGGUGUCUUGGCUAAUGUGUCUUGGCUAAGAUGUCUUGGUUAAUGUGUCUUGGCUAAGGUGUCUUGGCUAAGGUGUCUUGGCUAAGGUGUCUUGGCUAAGGUGUCUUGGCUAAUGUGUCUUGGCUAAGGUGUCUUGGCUAAUGUGUCUCGGCUAAUGUGUCUUGGCUAAGGUGUCUUGGCUAAAGUGUCUUGGCUAAUGUGUCUUGGCUAAUGUGUCUUGGCUAAUGUGUCUUGGCUAAUGUGUCUCGGCUAAUGUGUCUUGGCUAAUGUGUCUUGGCUAAGGUGUCUUGGCUAAGGUGUCUUGGCUAAUGUGUCUUUGCUAAAGUGUCUUGGCUAAGGUGUCUUGGCUAAUGUGUCUUGGCUAAUGUGUCUUGGCUAAUGUGUCUCGGCUAAUGUGUCUUUGCUAAGGUGUCUUAGCUAAGGUGUCUUGGCUAAGGUGUCUUGGCUAAUGUGUCUCGGCUAAUGUGUCUUGGCUAAGGUGUCUUGGCUAAUGUGUCUUGGCUAAGAUGUCUUGGUUAAUGUGUCUUUUCUAAGGUGUCUUGGCUUAUGUGUUCUGGCUAAAGUGUCUUGGCUUAUGUGUCUUGGCUAAUGUGUCUUGGCUAAUGUGCCUUGGCUAAGGUGUCUUGGCUAAGGUGUCUUGGCUAAGGUGUCUUGGCUAAUGUGUCUCGGCUAAUGUGUCUUGGCUAAUGUGUCUUGGCUAAUGUGUCUUGGCUAAGGUGUCUUGGCUAAUGUGUCUUGGCUUAUGUGUCUUGGCUAAGGUGUCUUGGCUAAGGUGUCUUGGCUAAGGUGUCUUGGCUAAAGUGUCUCGGCUAAUGUGUCUUGUCUAAGGUGUCUUGGCUAAGGUGUCUUGGCUAAGGUGUCUUGGCUAAGGUGUCUUGGCUAAGGUGUCUUGGCUAAGGUGUCUUGGCUAAGGUGUCUUGGCUAAGGUGUCUUGGCUAAGGUGUCUUGGCUAAUGUGUCUUGGCUAAGGUGUCUUGGCUAAGGUGUCUUGGCUAAGGUGUCUUGGCUAAGGUGUCUCGGCUGAUGUGUCUUGGCUAAGGUGUUAUGGCUAAGGUGUCUUGGCUAAGGUGUCUUGGCUAAGGUGUCUUGGCUAAGGUGUCUUUUUCUAAUGUGUCUUGGCUAAGGUGUCUUGGCUAAUGUGUCUUGGCUAAGGUGUCUUGGCUAAGGUGUCUUGGCAAAGGUGUCUUGGCUAAGGUGUCUUGGCUAAUGUGUCUUGGCUAAUGUGUCUUGGCUAUGGUGUCUUGGCUUAGGUGUCUUGGCUAAUGUGUCUUGGCUUAUGUGUCUUGGCUAAGGUGUCUUGGCUAAUGUGUCUUUGCUAAAGUGUCUUGGCUUAUGUGUCUUGGCUUAGGUGUCUUGGCUAAGGUGUCUUGGCUAAGGUGUCCUGGCUAAGGUGUCUUGGCUAAUGUGUCUUGGCUAAUGUGUCUUGGCUAAGGUGUCUUGGCUAAGGUGUCUUGGCUAAGGUGUCUUGGCUAAUGUGUCUCGGCUAAUGUGUCUUGGCUAAUGUGUCUUGGCUAAUGUGUCUUGGCUAAUGUGUCUUGGCUAAUAUGUCAUGGCUAAGGUGUCUUGGCUAAGGUGUCUUGGCUAAGGUGUCUUGGCUAAGGUGUCUUGGCUAAGGUGUCUUGGCUAAUGUGUCUUGGCUAAGAUGUCUUGGUUAAUGUGUCUUGGCUAAGGUGUCUUGGCUAAGGUGUCUUGGCUAAGGUGUCUUGGCUAAGGUGUCUUGGCUAAUGUGUCUUGGCUAAGGUGUCUUGGCUAAUGUGUCUCGGCUAAUGUGUCUUGGCUAAUGUGUCUUGGCUAAGGUGUCUUGGCUAAGGUGUCUUGGCUAAUGUGUCUUUGCUAAAGUGUCUUGGCUAAGGUGUCUUGGCUAAUGUGUCUUGGCUAAUGUGUCUUGGCUAAUGUGUCUCGGCUAAUGUGUCUUUGCUAAGGUGUCUUAGCUAAGGUGUCUUGGCUAAGGUGUCUUGGCUAAUGUGUCUCGGCUAAUGUGUCUUGGCUUAGGUGUCUUGGCUAAAAUGUCUUGGCUUAUGUGUCUCGGCUAAUGUGUCUUGAGUAAGGUGUCUUGGCUAAGGUGUCUUGGCUAAUGUGUCUUGGCUAAUGUGUCUUGGCUUAUGUGUCUUGGCUAAGGUGUCUUGGCUAAUGUGUCUUUGCUAAAGUGUCUUGGCUUAUGUGUCUUGGCUUAGGUGUCUUGGCUAAGGUGUCUUGGCUAAGGUGUCUUGGCUAAGGUGUCUUGGCUAAUGUGUCUUGGCUAAUGUGUCUUGGCUAAGGUGUCUUGGCUAAGGUGUCUUGGCUAAGGUGUCUUGGCUAAUGUGUCUCGGCUAAUGUGUCUUGGCUAAUGUGUCUUGGCUAAGGUGUCUUGGCUAAGGUGUCUUGGCUAAGGUGUCUUGGCUAAGGUGUCUUGGCUAAGGUGUCUUUUCUAAGGUGUCUUGGCUUAUGUGUUCUGGCUAAAGUGUCUUGGCUAAUGUGUCUUGGCUAAGGUGUCUCGGCUAAUGUGUCUUAGCUAAUGUGUCUCGGCUAAUGUGUCUUGGCCAAGGUGUCUUGGCUAAAGUGUCUUGGCUAAUGUGUCUUGGCUAAUGUGUCUUGGCUAAUGUGUCUUGGCUAAUGUGUCUUGGCUAAUGUGUCUCGGCUAAUGUGUCUUGGCUAAGGUGUCUUGGCUAAUGUGUCUUGGCUAAUGUGUCUUGGCUAAUGAGUCUUGGCUAAUGUGUCUUGGCGAAUGUGUCUUGGCUCAUGUGUCUUGGCUAAUGUGUCUUGGCUAAGGUGUCUUGGCUAAGGUGUCUUGGCUAAGGUGUCUUGGCUAAUGUGUCUCGGCUAAUGUGUCUUGGCUAAUGUGUCUUGGCUAAGGUGUCUUGGCUAAUGUGCCUUGGCUAAUGUGUCUCGGCUAAUGUGUCUUGGCUAAGGUGUCUUGGCUAAGGUGUGUUGGCUAAUGUGUCUUGGCUAAGGUGUCUUGGCUAAUGUGUCUUGGCUAAGGUGUCUUGGCUAAGGUGUCUUGGCUAAGGUGUCUUGGCUAAG